Molecule: long non-coding RNA, 409 nt
Organism: Bufo gargarizans (Asiatic toad)
Lineage: Eukaryota; Metazoa; Chordata; Amphibia; Anura; Bufonidae
Exons: 2
Source: RefSeq, a predicted model, not a curated record
UCUGAGAACAGCAAAGUUGAGCCUCAUUCACACAGUCAGUGAUUGAGCCAAACCCAGGUGUGGGUCUAGACACAGAACAGGAGCAGACCUUUCCCUUAUACCUCGUGUUUGUGGAGGCUCCAAUCCUGGUUUCGGCUCACAAUCACCGACGUGUGAAUACGGCAUUAGCAGCUGCUGAUCCCUGAAGUGGUGGAACGCAGUAUAAAGCUAGUCCAAAUCCAUGGAGGUCUCAAGACAAAGCCUGUGUCUAUAGGAGAUGACCAAAACCAACUCUGUUGUUCCCACUUGUAACAGGUGGUCACCUCAACUGCAGAUGGGGGCACAAGAACCCAGUUUUCGGGAUCACUGGGAGUCGAGGCAGGCAGAUACUUAUGGCAGAUAUGGCAUAUUUAUAUGCAGAAAAUUUAAA